Long non-coding RNA from Ictalurus punctatus (channel catfish), 2751 nucleotides. Lineage: Eukaryota; Metazoa; Chordata; Actinopteri; Siluriformes; Ictaluridae. The record is from Ensembl.
CCAGGUCAAGUAAUGGGUCUGGGAUUUGAAAUACAGCAAAGAACACUCACAAAUAUGGUAAAACAAUUUUUAUGUAAUUAUUUGAUUUUAUUAUUAUUAUUUGAAUUUGAGGUGUAAUAUAUUGGUUACAAAACUGCUACAUUAUAGAAACUGUAUUACAUGGUUUCACUCAGAAAAUUUGAAGCAAAACUUUAACCUGAAAAGAAAGAAAGUUGACUGCUUUAAAUUAACUGAUAAUUAAACUUUUAACUAACAGGUACAUUCUGUGACUUACAACUAACGGCAUGAAUUUAACAAGAAGGACUUACAGAUAAGUAACAAGUUUUUUUUGUGUUUUUUUAAAAUCCAUUUUUGUGGACAAAUUUUUGUUCAGCUGUGGCAGCAAAGUUCAAAAGUGGAAGAAAGAAAGAAAGAAAGAAAAAAAUGCAAGAAAAAAUAUUUACAAUUUUUUUGCUUAAUAACAAUUUAUGAAAAAAUGGAUAAUAACAGAAUAUAGUCCAAAUAAAAUAAAAAUCCAUAUUUUAAAUAAAACCUUUUUGCAAAAUAUUUGCAAUAUUUAAUAACAGUUGUACGUAUGUAAAAAACAAAAACAAAAUGCUUAUCAUUUUUAUUUACUAUAAAAUUGUAUUUUUAUAAUCUGAAUGAUGUUUAUAAUCAAGCACAGUUUUGAGAAGAAGCAUUGUUUUUAUUAUUAGUGUACAAAAAUUACAAAUAUAAAAUCCUCUUUAUGCUCUGUUUUGUUAUCAACUUCAUCAACCAUUUAUAAAAAUAAGUAUAUAGUGUUACAAAGUCUUACAGAAAAAAGAUUUCAGUUUUAUAUUAAUUUCAAAGCUGCAUAUGAACACUGAACAUUGAGGAAGGCUAUGACAUGCGCACAAUUGUAUAAAAUAACAUUAUUUUAUAAAGUUUAGGUUUAUUAAAUACAAAUUAUACAAAGAACAAAAUCAUUGAAUGCUACAUCAGCACAUUGUCUCAAGUUUUACUUCUGUGAUCAAACAACCAAAUCAUUAUAUAUAAAAUCAUGAUAUAUAUUUUUUACUAUGAUGAAAAUCAUUUUGGCUAAUUUUUGCACAAUUUUUAUGUAUCAUUUAUUAUGCUGCAUGGUUAGUUAUCAAGCUCUCGUCUAAUUUAAUCAGAAAAAGAGAGUUAAAAUGCUAUCCCAAUAAGAGAGGUUUACAUCAUAUCAUAAAACACUAAUUGUAAGAAAAUUAUAAGAAAACUAAACAUUGAUAAAUUUUUAGUAACAUGUAUCAUCCAACCCUGGUCUUUUGUAAAUGUUAUUUUUCAAAACCAACAUAAAUAUGGAAUAUGGAAGCCUGUCCUAAAAAUGCUGAAUAUUAGCUGGAGCCCAAAUUAAUCAGCUAAAACAAAAUGAGUUUUUGGUGUUUAGUGAGAUCCAAAUCAUGCUGUGUCCCAUAUUAUCAUUUAUUCACUUUUAAUUGCUCCCUGUUAUAGAAGGACCGGUUUUUCAAGAUCUUUGUUUCGUUUUGUUUUUUGAUAACUCUUUUUCUGAAAGUGUAUUUUUAAAAGCAAUAGCAAUCUCAUAUAGCCUAACAGACAUUCAAAUGUAAACAGUAAGAUCCAUGGUAUUUUAUCAUGGUGUCUAAACUAGAUAGAGCGGAUAAGUUAACCAAAACUACUAGUUUUGACUAGUUAGAUUUUAGCCCUGUGCUAAUGGUGAUCUUGCUACUGUUAUUUUUAUACCUAAAGAUAGCAUACGUAAUUUGUCAAGGAUUUACUUUUGAUCAUACCUAUUGCAAUAUGGGUUAUUAAGGAUAUGUACAUGAAUGGUCUUAAUCACUGGAAGAUGAUUAAGAACUUUAAGCCACAUAUUCCUUUAGGAGAACACCACUGGGCAGAUCUAAUAUAAGUGCCAGUAACACUGAUACAAUAAUACGUGCGUGCAUACAUUAUAUAUAUAUAUAUAUAUAUACACACACACACACACACACAAACAGAGUAUCUCACAAAAGUGAGUACACCCCUCACAUUUUUGUAAAUAUUUGAUUAUAACUUUUCAUGUGACAACACUGAAGAAAUGACACUUUGCUACAAUGUAAGGUAGUGAGUGUACAGCUUAUAUAACAGUGUAAAUUUGCUGUCCCCUCAAAAUAACUCAACACAGCCUUUAAUGUCUAAACUGCUGGCAACAAAAGUGAGUACACCCCUAAGUGAAAAUGUCCAAAUUGGGCUUAAUUAGCCAUUUUCCCUCCCCGGUGUCAUGUGACUUGUUAGUGUUAUAAGGUCUCAGGUGUGAAUGGGGAGCAGUUGUGUUAAAUUUGGUGUCAUAGCGCUCACACUUCCUCAUACUAGUCACUGGAAGUUCAACAUGGCACCUCAUGGCAAAGAACUCUCUGGGGAUCUGAAAAAAUGAAUUGUUGCUCUACAUAAAGAUGGCCUAGGCUAUAAGAAGAUUGCCAAGACCCCGACACUGAGCUGCAGCAUGGUGGCCAAGACCGUACAGCGGUUUAACAGGACAGGUUCCACUCAGAACAUUCCUCGCCAUGGUCGACCAAAGAAGUUGAGUGCACGUGCUCAGUGUCAUAUCCAAAGGUUGUCUUUGGGAAAUAGAUGUAUGAGUCUAUGCUGCUGAGGUUGAAGGGGUGGGGGGUCAGCUUGUCAGUGAUCAGACCAUUCGUCACACACUGCAUCAAAUUGGUCUGCAUGGCUGUCAUCCCAGAAGGAAGCCUCUUCUAAAGAUGAUGCACAAGAAAGCCCGCAAACAGUUUGCUGAAGACAAGCAGACUAAGG